AUUGAACGCUGGCGGAAUGCUUUACACAUGCAAGUCGAACGGCAGCACGGACUUCGGUCUGGUGGCGAGUGGCGAACGGGUGAGUAAUAUAUCGGAACGUGCCCAGUCGUGGGGGAUAACGUAGUGAAAAUUACGCUAAUACCGCAUACGAUCUAAGGAUGAAAGCGGGGGAUCGCAAGACCUCGCGCGAUUGGAGCGGCCGAUAUCAGAUUAGGUAGUUGGUGAGGUAAAGGCUCACCAAGCCAACGAUCUGUAGCUGGUCUGAGAGGACGACCAGCCACACUGGGACUGAGACACGGCCCAGACUCCUACGGGAGGCAGCAGUGGGGAAUUUUGGACAAUGGGCGCAAGCCUGAUCCAGCAAUGCCGCGUGCAGGACGAAGGCCUUCGGGUUGUAAACUGCUUUUGUACGGAGCGAAAAGGCUACUCUCUAAUACAGGGAGUUUAUGACGGUACCGUAAGAAUAAGCACCGGCUAACUACGUG
This 485-nucleotide ribosomal RNA is filed under the name uncultured bacterium. Its description in RNAcentral is "bacterial SSU rRNA". It matches the Rfam family "Bacterial small subunit ribosomal RNA", at positions 30 to 507 of the family's 1533-position model. The record is from RNAcentral.